AUGACAGUAGAAGUCCACCGUUUAGCUACAAAGCAGAUGUAGAUCAGACAGCUGCAGUAGGCAUUUUCCCUGCAUGCACUUCAUGGGUCCAUAUAGGAGCUAUGGGUGAAUUCAGUCUCUGUGGCCCAUUCCAUCCUUGGCGUUU
This 145-nucleotide small RNA is filed under the name Crocodylus porosus (Australian saltwater crocodile). RNAcentral's name for it is "TUC338 (ENSCPRG00005012503.1)". Lineage: Eukaryota; Metazoa; Chordata; Crocodylia; Crocodylidae. The record is from RNAcentral.